AACCUGACCAUACACCGACCAAGCCGUCUGACGUUGUCAUAUAAUUCUGAUUCUCAAAGUAUGCUUUUCCACUGAGAAGAGGUGUGGACUUACUGACCUCUAUUAUUCAUAACUGCUCACAGGUGACAGAGAUAAGUAGCAGACACAGCACCUUAAUUCUAAAUGACUUUGCAACUCUGACCUUGAAAGCUGGAGGAUUAAGAGACCAGUUUCUUUUUCUGUGCCAGCAUUUUAUUCUUUUUCCAAGCCCACGGUAAGAGUCACUCAGGAUGCUUCCUAACUUGGGUAGCCCACGUCUGGAGACACAGGUGCUUUUUGAAGCGCGUUGACCGGGAAGCCCCUCUUAGCUCAUCCAGCCCCUCUUAGCUCAUCCAAUCCAGCACAUCAGGGGAUCUUCCCUCCCCAGGGAUCGAACCCAGGUCUCCGGCAUUGUGGGCGGAUUCUUUUACCAGCUGAGCCACAAGGGAAGCCCAAGAAUACUGGAGUGCAUAGCCUAUCCCUUCUUCAGUGGAUCUUCCCGACCCAGGAAUCGAACCGGCGUCUCCUGCAUUGCAGGUUGCUGAGGACUUGGUUAAGUACCAAUAUUCAAAAUAGCAUCUUCUGGGAGGAAGGGACAGUUAGGUAGGGCAUCUGGGGAGAGCGUGUACACCCUGCCAUAUUUAAAAUAGAUAACCAACAAGGGCCUACUGUAUAGCACAGGGAACUCUGCUCAAUGUCAGGUGGCAGCCUGGCGGGAGCGGGGAGAAUGGAUGCGUGUAUAUGUAUGGCUGAGACCCCUUGCUGCUCACUUGAAACUAUCACAACAGUCUUUAUUAAUUGGGUGUACCUCGGUACAAAAUAAAAAGUUAAAAUAACCCCAAAACAGCGUCUUCAAUAAGCCAGCACUCACGGAACAAAGGUGAAGGGCAGGGUCCCCCCUGCUCCAUGUGUCAGAGCUUCAGAUCUGCCCAGGAAGGGGACCCUGGGAUCCCAGCUCUCACUUCCGGGCCUGAGGGCCCCACGCCCAGUCCCCAUCGGGCGGGAGUGAGUCUCACCUGACCUGGACUCUCAGGCUGGAACACGCUCACUUCCCGAGGUUCCUGCACCAGAGCCACACACAGAAACCUUUGUUCCUACGGCUGUCGCUUCUGGGGCAGGAGGUGCCCUGCUUCAGUCUCCCACUUUGCCUCCAAGAGUCCAACCUCAGUGUAUUGCUUUUUAAAACUUAUCCUCAGAUUUUUUUUUUUUUAAAUCAGGCAACUAGAAAAAAAGAAAAAAAGGACACAUCUAAAGUAAGGAACUUCCACUUGAAUAAACUGCUCUAGAUGUCCUGGGUUGACACUGGCUGUUGGUAAUGAAGAAUCUGGUGCUAAGGAAUGUAGAACAUCAUGCUAAUAUCCCCCUGCACAGAACCUGGGCUUUAGGAAGAUGGUUUCAGACUGAGACUGUUGUGUUACAUAAGAAAGGAAGACUCAUUCCUCUUUUUUCCUUUUCACUGCAACCUUGGAAGACACAGGCUAUCCAUCAUUGAGGGUAGACAACAAACUCAUGGGUUUAGUCUUUUGCAAACUUUCUACCCUCCCAUGUUGGUUAUGAUUAUAAAUCACAGCCAACAAAUACUGUGCAGAUACUAAUAUGAUACAAGUCAGAUUGGCAUUGCCCCCAUUGGGGAGCUUUUGUUGAAGAAGCUCAGCACAGCAGGGCUGGGUCUCAGUCACAGGCUGUCAACUUGAGUGUCUUUGGCAAUGGGUGCAUCAAGCUGAACAGUUUCCCAGUGAUCCUGGGGCUCGGGGCCAAGUGCUAGCCAAGCCCUUUAGGCAUGUCUGAUUCCUGUGACCAUCCUCAUAACCUUGCGAGCAAAGUCCUGUUCGUUCCCGUUAACCAGUCAAGGGCGCUGAGUGACUGACAUCCGUGACCUCGCUCAAGACCACCUCCGGGACGGGCGGGUGCGGGCAGUGUGGCCCGAGCACCAGCCACACGCUCUGCCACUGCUCUCGAGGCCCUCCUCACACAACAGUGACCCACCCUUAAAUAUAACAGUAAUUCGCAGAUAACGAGCUUGGGCUUUGGAGUCAGACUUUGCUUGGCAGCUAGCUGAGCCACUUGCUAGCAAGUGCCUGGGAGGUGGAAGCUUCCAGGAUGCCUUUGGCCACAUCCCCAGUCCUGGAGGACUGAUAGAAAAGGGAACUUACCUUUGCAGCUUCAGUAAAUCUGUUCCUGGGAAGAGUGACUUGGAAGCAACCGGGUACCUGAAGGUGAAAUCAUGGCACACAGAGGUUACGUUGCACAGCUAGAAGAGCUGCACCUGGGCUCAGAUCUGGCCCUGGCUUGGUCAUGUCAGCUGCAGCACAGUAUUGCCUCCCAGGCAGAAGUGAGGCAGACUCGGACAACGUCAUACUUUCAGUUCCUGAAAGCAGCUUCAUAAAUUGACUAUACAGGAUGAUUUCCCAAUGUGUUAAUUAUCUCUGCUAAAAAUACAGCUGUGCACCGGGAAUGUUUUCCAGGAAGUCUAAGAAUCCUAGAUCGAAGUUGUGUUUUAUGGUCCCUGAGAAAUAAUGGCCUUGUUCAAAGUUUCAGGGAGGCAGCAUUGAGCAUUUAGCCCUGUGUGCAUGGCUUUAGGGUUUCGAACCAUGAGCCCUGGCUGCUACACUGCCCACAUACCCUAGACAUGAGGGCACAAGGCUCUCUUAUUUACUCUCAUGUACCCUCGGAAGCCUAAAAUCAAUUUUUGGUGAAUAAGUUAUUGAAUGUCUUUUCCACUUCACUUCUGGGUGGAUUAAUCUUGGAGACAUUAAAUUCUUUCUUUCGGAUACUGAA
Bubalus bubalis (water buffalo) is the source of this 2796-nucleotide long non-coding RNA. RefSeq lists it as uncharacterized. NCBI's taxonomy places the organism in Eukaryota, Metazoa, Chordata, Mammalia, Artiodactyla, Bovidae. The record is from RefSeq and is a predicted model, not a curated record. The transcript is spliced from 8 exons.